Molecule: ribosomal RNA, 200 nt
Filed under: uncultured bacterium
Lineage: Bacteria
Description: partial 16S ribosomal RNA
Rfam family: Bacterial small subunit ribosomal RNA
Source: RNAcentral
AGAGUUUGAUCCUGGCUCAGAGCGAACGCUGGCGGCAGGCUUAACACAUGCAAGUCGAGCGGGUGUAGCAAUACAUCAGCGGCAGACGGGUGAGUAACGCGUGGGAACGUACCUUUUGGUUCGGAACAACCCAGGGAAACUUGGGCUAAUACCGGAUACGCCCUUACGGGGAAAGAUUUAUCGCCGAAAGAUCGGCCCGC